Molecule: ribosomal RNA, 468 nt
Filed under: uncultured bacterium
Lineage: Bacteria
Description: partial 16S ribosomal RNA
Rfam family: Bacterial small subunit ribosomal RNA
Source: RNAcentral
GACGAACGCUGGCGGCGUGCUUAACACAUGCAAGUCGAACGGAAAGGGCCUGCUUUUGUGGGGUGCUCGAGUGGCGAACGGGUGAGUAACACGUGAGUAACCUGCCCUUGACUUUGGGAUAACUUCAGGAAACUGGGGCUAAUACCGGAUAGGAGCUCCUGCUGCAUGGUGAGGGUUGGAAAGUUUCGGCGGUUGGGGAUGGACUCGCGGCUUAUCAGCUUGUUGGUGGGGUAGUGGCUUACCAAGGCUUUGACGGGUAGCCGGCCUGAGAGGGUGACCGGCCACAUUGGGACUGAGAUACGGCCCAGACUCCUACGGGAGGCAGCAGUGGGGAAUAUUGCACAAUGGGCGGAAGCCUGAUGCAGCAACGCCGCGUGCGGGAUGACGGCCUUCGGGUUGUAAACCGCUUUCGCCUGUGACGAAGCGUGAGUGACGGUAAUGGGUAAAGAAGCACCGGCUAACUACGUG